Molecule: unclassified non-coding RNA, 336 nt
Filed under: soil metagenome
Description: partial contains 5.8S ribosomal RNA, internal transcribed spacer 2, and large subunit ribosomal RNA
Rfam family: 5.8S ribosomal RNA (bases 1-118)
Source: RNAcentral
UGAAGAACGUAGCGAAAUGCGAUAAGUAAUGUGAAUUGCAGAAUUCAGUGAAUCAUCGAAUCUUUGAACGCACAUUGCGCCCGCCAGUAUUCUGGCGGGCAUGCCUGUUCGAGCGUCAUUUCAACCAUCAAGCCCCCCCGGCUUGUGUUGGGGACCUGCGGCUGCCGCAGGCCCUGAAAAGCAGUGGCGGGCUCGCUGUCACACCGAGCGUAGUAGAUCUCAUCUCGCUCAGGGCGUGCUGCGGGUUCCGGCCGUUAAACCACCUUCAUAACCCAAGGUUGACCUCGGAUCAGGUAGGAAGACCCGCUGAACUUAAGCAUAUCAAUAAGCGGAGGA